UGUGGGGUACAGUUGCCAUGCGGUGCUGCCUGCGUUUCUGAGUCUGGUGUCUCCUUUGCAGAUCUGUGAUGAGCUGGGAGUGAAGCGGCCCUCCUCUGUGAAAGUGUUCUCAGGCAAAAGUGAACGCAGCUCCUCUGGGCUGCUGGAGUGGGAAUCCAAGAGCGAUGCCCUGGAGACGCUGGGCUUCCUGAACCAUUACCAGAUGAAAAACCCAAAUGGGCCAUACCCUUACACCCUGAAGUUGUGUUUCUCCACUGUCCAGCACGCCUCCUAAUUAGGUGCCCAGGAAGAGUCCCAUCUGAGCAGGAGAACAUUUUUCCUUUAUGCUGUUUU
Loxodonta africana (African savanna elephant) is the source of this 333-nucleotide long non-coding RNA. RefSeq lists it as uncharacterized. The transcript is spliced from 3 exons. The record is from RefSeq and is a predicted model, not a curated record. Lineage: Eukaryota; Metazoa; Chordata; Mammalia; Proboscidea; Elephantidae.